AGCGUAUAUUAAAGUUGUUGCAGUUAAAAAGCUCGUAGUUGAAUUUCGGGGUUAGUAGGUUGGUCAUGCCUCUGGUAUGUACUGGUCUCACUGAUUCCUCCUUCCUGAUGAACCUUAAUGCCAUUUAUUUGGUGUUUUGGGGAAUUUGGACUGUUACUUUGAAAAAAUUAGAGUGUUUAAAGCAAGCUAACGCUUGAAUACAUUAGCAUGGAAUAAUGAAAUAGGACGUUCGAUCCUAUUUUGUUGGUUUCUAGGAUUGACGUAAUGAUUAAUAGGGAUAGUUGGGGGCAUUAGUAUGCAAUUGUCAGAGGUGAAAUUCUUGGAUUUAUUGAAGACUAACUACUGCGAAAGCAUUUGCCAAGGAUGUUUUCAUUAAUCAAGAACGAAAGUUAGGGGAUCGAAGACGAUCAGAUACCGUCGUAGUCUUAACCAUAAAC
This 437-nucleotide ribosomal RNA is filed under the name uncultured Glomeromycotina. RNAcentral's name for it is "SSU rRNA". It matches the Rfam family "Eukaryotic small subunit ribosomal RNA", at positions 596 to 1037 of the family's 1831-position model. The record is from RNAcentral. Lineage: Eukaryota; Fungi; Glomeromycota.